UCAGCCCUAUUCUGCAUUUCUACUCGAAUCGAAAUUUUCUCCGAUUGGCAACUUUGGUAUUCUGCGUUUCGAUUCAACUUCGAAAAUUCCAAUUCUAUGUAUUCUGCAUUGCGAUCGUAAUUACGUUUUUGUACGUUGAAGUUUUGUCGGCGGAAAGCCGUUAUAUAUUCAUUUUCGUGCACUUGGAUAAAAUAAUUUCCUCAAAUAUGUCAAAAGUAACAACGGCAGAGCAAUACGAAAAAAUUGUGUGAUAUGAUGGCCACGGAAAGAGAUAUUGCGCAGGGCUUCCAAAAGCGACCGAAGGAAGAAGUACAGGAGUUUUGGGAGGAGGUUGCAAGGAAUUUAAAUGCACUUGGCCCACCAACAAAAGAUUCCAAUACAUGGAGGUCUGGAUUGACUGAAAAUGCUACAUGAAGCGAAAAUUAUCGCAUAACAAAAAAGAAAGGAUGAGCACCGGUGGAGGUCCUUGUCGUUUACAACGCAUAAGCCCACUUGAUGAAAAGGUGAUAGCUUUGACGGGUUUGGAAAGGGAUGAUAUCCCUUCAACCACUA
Molecule: long non-coding RNA, 552 nt
Organism: Bactrocera tryoni
Lineage: Eukaryota; Metazoa; Arthropoda; Insecta; Diptera; Tephritidae
Exons: 3
Source: RefSeq, a predicted model, not a curated record